This is a long non-coding RNA of Artibeus jamaicensis (Jamaican fruit-eating bat), 891 nucleotides long. RefSeq lists it as uncharacterized. NCBI's taxonomy places the organism in Eukaryota, Metazoa, Chordata, Mammalia, Chiroptera, Phyllostomidae. The record is from RefSeq and is a predicted model, not a curated record. The transcript is spliced from 3 exons.
UGCGCGGGCCCGGGCGCCGCUCUAGCUGCGCGGGCCCCGCCGAGCGCGCAGCGCCGGGGCCCCUCGCGGCCGCCCCGCGCCCGGCCACAGCGCCACCUUCGGCCCUCGGCCCGCCCGCCGGGGCCCCGCGGCUCGGAGAGGCCGGACUCGGCCUCCGGCGGCGGCCUUCGUCGCGCCGCGGGGCCGCAGCGAGAACGCGGCUCGCGGCCGCCGGAAUUGGGGGCGGGACGCGCGCGGUCCGCGGGCAGGGCCGGGGCCGAGCCUGCACCAGCGCCCGCGGGGAGCCCGCGGGAACCGCCGUGGACCCGAGUCACCUUCCGGGGCCGCUGUCACCCACAGCCCCGAAGCCCCGGGGCGCGCCGGGUGGGCAGGCCGGACUCGCCGCCUAAAGGCGCCUGAACAGAAACGCCGGCUCGCCGGCCCCUCCGCCAGCCCGGCGCGGCGCCUGCAGCGGUAUUUUAAGGUCGUUGUGGGGAACCGAGACCUCGCUGCCAGGGCGGAACUGGAUGAAUCCGAUUUAUUCUGUGUGGUUCAGCGCGGACUUUGGGGCGCUGUGUGCCAGGCAGGCACUUUGAAGCGUACAGAACUGUAAAAUCCAGAGUUUGGAUCUGGAUCUGAGGAAAUCUUUCCAUUUUGGAAGCCUACUGCGUCCAUCCAAUCUUCUGUUCAACAAACGCAGACCCUGCACUUAUGAGGCGGGAUAUAUUGCUGAACAAAAGACACAAAAUUAACAGCCUCCUGAGGGGAACAAUCUAAUUCUGUGCAGACGUCUUCUCAUCUUUGGGCUACUGUGACAUCUUCUUAACCCAACUUCUUAAGUUUACUUCCCAUAAUCUUUGCUAUAUCCACCUUCCAGAGUGAUUUUUCAUGAAUAAAAUUUUAGUUUCAUCA